CCAGUAGCGUAUAUUAAAGUUGUUGCAGUUAAAAAGCUCGUAGUUGAAUUUCGGGAUCAAUUAAUUGGUCGUGCCUCUGGUACGUACUGAUUUUAUUGGUUUCUCCCUUCUGACGAACCAUGAUGUCAUUAAUUUGGUGUCGUGGAGAAUCAGGACUGUUACUUUGAAAAAAUUAGAGUGUUUAAAGCAAGCUAACGCUUGAAUACAUUAGCAUGGAAUAAUGAAAUAGGACGUUUGAUCCUAUUUUGUUGGUUUCUAGGAUCGACGUAAUGAUUAAUAGGGAUAGUUGGGGGCAUUAGUAUUCAAUUGUCAGAGGUGAAAUUCUUGGAUUUAUUGAAGACUAACUACUGCGAAAGCAUUUGCCAAGGAUGUUUUCAUUAAUCAAGAACGAAAGUUAGGGGAUCGAAGACGAUCAGAUACCGUCGUAGUCUUAACCAUAAACUAUGCCGACUAGGGAUCGGAUGAUGUUAAUUUUUUAAUGACUCAUUCGGCGCCUUAC
RNAcentral lists this ribosomal RNA (499 nucleotides) under uncultured Glomeromycotina. RNAcentral describes it as "partial small subunit ribosomal RNA". It matches the Rfam family "Eukaryotic small subunit ribosomal RNA", at positions 591 to 1091 of the family's 1831-position model. The record is from RNAcentral. Lineage: Eukaryota; Fungi; Glomeromycota.